UACAGAGGUCUCAAGCGUUGUUCGGAUUCAUUGGGCGUAAAGGGUGUGUAGGCGGCGCGGUAAGUCGGGUGUGAAAUUUCGAGGCUUAACUUCGAAACUGCAUUCGAUACUGCCGUGCUAGAGGACUGGAGAGGAGACUGGAAUUUACGGUGUAGCGGUGAAAUGCGUAGAUAUCGUAAGGAAGACCAGUGGCGAAGGCGGGUCUCUGGACAGUUCCUGACGCUGAGGCACGAAGGCCAGGGGAGCAAACGGG
This 253-nucleotide ribosomal RNA is filed under the name uncultured bacterium. Its description in RNAcentral is "partial 16S ribosomal RNA". It matches the Rfam family "Bacterial small subunit ribosomal RNA", at positions 524 to 776 of the family's 1533-position model. The record is from RNAcentral.